RNAcentral lists this long non-coding RNA (924 nucleotides) under Homo sapiens (human). RNAcentral describes it as "non-protein coding lnc-ENPP6-2:1". Lineage: Eukaryota; Metazoa; Chordata; Mammalia; Primates; Hominidae. The record is from RNAcentral.
CAAAUGUCGAUAUCCCCAUUUUACAGAUCACAACCCUUUAUCAAUGAAAACAACUCUGUACAGGUAAGGGAGGCAUCCUUCAUGAAUUCUUCCUCCCGUUUCCACAAUUCUUGCAAUUAAUCAAACAAUCUGAGCCAGUCUUCACUUCAUGAGAACAGCUGUCUCCAAAAUGCUGAGGACAUAAACAACUAUAGAAUAAACUGAGUUUAUGGCAGAAAAUCUCCUACGAUGUGGAAGAAAGGAGACCUUCGUCAUCUUUCUCUGUCGUGGACGUCUUCUCAGUGUGUUGAGGUGUGCUCUGUGACUUCCGUGGAAAGGGCAUGGCUGUGUCCUUCUAUGCAUUUUGCAGUCAUUCCCAUCUGCAAAUACCAUUCCUUCCAUAAAUAACAAUCACUCAUUAACUCCAGGGACUAUUGACUUCCCUUUCUUCAAUAAACACUUCUGUGGGCUUGCUGUCUGCUUCCUCCUUGCAGCCACGGUAACCAUUGUUGGGUAAUGCAUGGUUGCCAGGCUCCUGAACGGGAGUGAGAUUUUUUUUAAACCUGAUGUCACAUCCAGGACAAACAAGAGAAGUCCUUUUAACCAAAUAGGACUCCUAUAUAACAAGAGUCUUUGAGAAGAGAGUCGUAUGACCUAAGAUGUCCCCUCCAACUACUUUGAGAGACAUCUAUCUGCACAUGUGCACAAGGUGAAGAUUGAAUGCAGCAUUGUCUGUCUUAGCAAAAGCUAAACACAACCCAAAUAUCCAGGGAUAGGAAAAUAACUCAAUAAACGUCGGCUUAUCCUUAUUAUGGAAUCCCACACAGCAGUUGCAGAUCUUCAUGUGUUGACGUGGAAAUGUCUCCAAGGCAUACUGCCAAGUGAAUGGACAGCAUGUUAACGUCUGUGCGCCACUCGGCCUCACAAAUAAAAACGAUUCAGCAU